Molecule: small nuclear RNA, 102 nt
Organism: Camelus dromedarius (Arabian camel)
Lineage: Eukaryota; Metazoa; Chordata; Mammalia; Artiodactyla; Camelidae
Source: Ensembl
GUGCUUACUUCAGCAGCACGUAUACUAAAACUGGGACAGAGAAGAUUAACAUGCUCCCUGAGCUAAGAUGAUAUGCAAAUUUGUGAAGUGUUUGAUACUUAA